CGUUCCCCUAUGCUUCCCCCAUUCCUCCCUCCCCCUGGUCCUGGGCUCCUGCGCAGCUUGUCCUGUCCCGGAGGAGGGACGCCUUCUGGGACCCCCCAGACCUGGGAUGGAGAGCCUGGAGGAGUGCGGAGAGGACGCGGGGCUGCAGCCCGGCAAGCCCGCCCAGGCCUACGUGACGUUCAAGGAUGUGGCCGUGGACUUCACCUGGGAGGAGUGGAGGCUCCUGGACCCUCCCCAGAAGGAGCUGUUCUGGGAGGUGAUGCUGGAGAACUACAGGAACCUGGUCUGCCUGGGUGAGGAGGGCUCUUCUGGGCCUUGGGAUCUGCCCAUGGAAGGGGAUGUGCUUCCUUCUCCUGGGCCCUGUCCAGGGUGCAGCUGGGAUUCUCUGGCCUGUAAUGGCCUGAGCACUUAUGCUAACCAGGCCAAAAGCCAGGCUGAAAGGCUCUCGUUUUGUUUGUCUAGCAAUGAAGGGCUUUACUGUGUGGUCCCAGCCCAGCUCUGCUCCCUCAGACCACAGGGACCUUCUCAAGGCUCAGGGGAAGUACUUGAAGUCAGCCAAGCUCCCAAUACCUCAGUAUUGAAUGGAUCGAAUGAACCCUUGUCUUUCAGAACCCCCCUCCAUUCCUUGUUCCAGUCCUGUGUCUUCCCAGGAAAACAAACCAGAGCAGCCUUGAGAUGUUUUCUCUAAGCAUCUCCAUGACACCCAGGCUCUAUACUAGCUUGUUCCUAAGGGCCUGGGAGAUCAUCCUCCAUCUUCAUCUCUGACCUGUCAGAACCGUAAAUAUACCAAAUCCUAGCAGGGAGGCCUAAUGAGCUGGUCAGCCUUGAGAAACUUGUCAGAACCAUCAAUAGGCCAAACCGCCAGCUGCAGUAGAUACCAGAUAAAGGCCAGGAAGAGCCCAACAAAUAUGUCAAACAACAGGUCAGGG
Molecule: long non-coding RNA, 929 nt
Filed under: Monodelphis domestica (gray short-tailed opossum)
Lineage: Eukaryota; Metazoa; Chordata; Mammalia; Didelphimorphia; Didelphidae
Description: lncRNA (ENSMODG00000043573.1)
Source: RNAcentral